AACGAACGCUGGCGGCGUGCCUAACACAUGCAAGUCGAGCGAGAAAGCUCCCUUCGGGGGGUGAGUAAAGCGGCGCACGGGUGAGUAACACGUAGGUAACCUACCCUCGAGCUUGGGAUAACCUACCGAAAGGUGGGCUAAUACCGGAUAUGACCACGGAGGUCACGGCCUCUGCGGUGAAAGAUGGCCUCUACUUGUAAGCUAUCACUCGGGGAUGGGCCUGCGCGCCAUUAGCUUGUUGGUGGGGUAAUGGCCUACCAAGGCUUUGAUGGCUAGCUGGUCUGAGAGGAUGAUCAGCCACACUGGGACUGAAACACGGCCCAGACUCCUGCGGGAGGCAGCAGUGGGGGAUAUUGCGCAAUGGGCGAAAGCCUGACGCAGCGACGCCGCGUGAGUGAUGAAGGCCCUCGGGUCGUAAAGCUCUGUCGAGGGGGACGAAACAGUUUCGGGUUAAUACCCCGGAGCCCUGACGGUACCCCUAAAGGAAGCCCCGGCUAACUCCGUGCCAGCCGCCGCCGUAACAC
RNAcentral lists this ribosomal RNA (524 nucleotides) under uncultured bacterium. Its description in RNAcentral is "bacterial SSU rRNA". It matches the Rfam family "Bacterial small subunit ribosomal RNA", at positions 28 to 526 of the family's 1533-position model. The record is from RNAcentral.